RNAcentral lists this ribosomal RNA (458 nucleotides) under uncultured bacterium. RNAcentral's name for it is "partial 16S ribosomal RNA". It matches the Rfam family "Bacterial small subunit ribosomal RNA", at positions 338 to 795 of the family's 1533-position model. The record is from RNAcentral.
CCUACGGGAGGCAGCAGUGAGGAAUAUUGGUCAAUGGGCGAGAGCCUGAACCAGCCAAGUCGCGUGAGGGAGUACUGCCCUAUGGGUUGUAAACCUCUUUUGUCGGGGAGCAAAAGCCGGACGUGUCCGGCUGUGAGAGUACCCGAAGAAAAAGCAUCGGCUAACUCCGUGCCAGCAGCCGCGGUAAUACGGAGGAUGCGCGCGUUAUCCGGAUUUAUUGGGUUUAAAGGGUGCGCAGGCGGAUUUUUAAGUCAGCGGUAAAAUCGUGGGGCUCAACCCCAUCCAGCCGUUGAAACUGGGGAUCUAGAGUGUGCGAGAGGUAUGCGGAAUGCGUGGUGUAGCGGUGAAAUGCAUAGAUAUCACGCAGAACCCCGAUUGCGAAGGCAGCAUACCGGUGCACAACUGACGCUCAGGCACGAAAGCGUGGGUAUCGAACAGGAUUAGAUACCCCAGUAGUC